AUGAACUCAGGACUCAAAUUGGUUUUCUUUGUCCUUAUUCUAAAAGGUGUCCAGUGUGAGGUGCAGCUGGGGGAGUCUGGUGGAGGCUUAGUACAGCCUGGAAAGUCCCUGAAACUCUCCUGUGAGGCCUCUGGAUUCACCUUCAGUAGCUAUGGCAUGGACUGGGUCCGCCAAUCUCCAGGGAAGGGGCUGGAGUGGGUCGCAUACAUUAGUAGUCGUAGUAGUAAUAUCUAUUAUGCCAACGCUGUGAAGGGCCGAUUCACCAUCUCCAGAGACAAUGCCAAGAACACACUGUUCCUACAAAUGAACAGUGUGAAAUCUGAGGACACUGCCACAUAUUACUGUGCAAGAGACACAGUGAGUGAAAGCUGCUGUGAGCUCAGACACAAACCACCCUGCAGGAUGCUCAUGACCAGCAGGGGGCGCAAAGAGCACAGGUUCUCUGGGUCACAGAAGAGCCUGUAG
This is a non-coding RNA of Cricetulus griseus (Chinese hamster), 465 nucleotides long. The record is from the annotation of a RefSeq genome assembly. Lineage: Eukaryota; Metazoa; Chordata; Mammalia; Rodentia; Cricetidae.